UUGACCUCGGAUCAGGUAGGGAUACCCGCUGAACUUAAGCAUAUCAAUAAGCGGAGGAAAAGAAACCAACCGGGAUUGCCUCAGUAACGGCGAGUGAAGCGGCAAGAGCUCAAAUUUGAAAUCUGGCCCCUCCGGGGUCCGAGUUGUAAUUUGCAGAGGAUGCUUCGGGUGCGGCCCCUGUCUAAGUGCCCUGGAACGGGCCGUCAGAGAGGGUGAGAAUCCCGUCUUGGGCAGGGUGCCCGUGCCCGUGUGAAGCUCCUUCGACGAGUCGAGUUGUUUGGGAAUGCAGCUCAAAAUGGGUGGUAAAUUUCAUCUAAAGCUAAAUACCGGCCGGAGACCGAUAGCGCACAAGUAGAGUGAUCGAAAGAUGAAAAGCACUUUGAAAAGAGAGUUAAACAGCACGUGAAAUUGUUGAAAGGGAAGCGCUUGCAACCAGACUCGGCCUCGGGGUUCAGCCAGCAUUCGUGCUGGUGUACUUCCCCGGGGCCGGGCCAGCGUCGGUUUGGGCGGCCGGUCAAAGGCCCCAGGAAUGUAUCGUCCUCCGGGACGUCUUAUAGCCUGGGGUGCAAUGCGGCCAGCCUGGACCGAGGAACGCGCUUCGGCACGG
This 607-nucleotide ribosomal RNA is filed under the name Aspergillus sydowii. RNAcentral describes it as "eukaryotic LSU rRNA". It matches the Rfam family "Eukaryotic large subunit ribosomal RNA", at positions 1 to 610 of the family's 3401-position model. The record is from RNAcentral. Lineage: Eukaryota; Fungi; Ascomycota; Eurotiomycetes; Eurotiales; Aspergillaceae.